AUUGAACGCUGGCGGCAUGCCUUACACAUGCAAGUCGAACGGCAGCACGGGAGCAAUCCUGGUGGCGAGUGGCGAACGGGUGAGUAAUAUAUCGGAACGUGCCCAGUCGUGGGGAUAACGUAGCGAAAGCUACGCUAAUACCGCAUACGAUCUAUGGAUGAAAGCGGGGGAUCGCAAGACCUCGCGCGAUUGGAGCGGCCGAUAUCAGAUUAGGUAGUUGGUGAGGUAAAGGCUCACCAAGCCGACGAUCUGUAGCUGGUCUGAGAGGACGACCAGCCACACUGGGACUCGAGACACGGCCCAGACUCCUACGGGAGGCAGCAGUGGGGGAAUUUUUGGGACAAUGGGCGCAAGCCUGAUCCAGCAAUGCCGCGUGCAGGAUGAAGGCCUCGGUUGUAAC
RNAcentral lists this ribosomal RNA (400 nucleotides) under uncultured bacterium. Its description in RNAcentral is "bacterial SSU rRNA". It matches the Rfam family "Bacterial small subunit ribosomal RNA", at positions 30 to 429 of the family's 1533-position model. The record is from RNAcentral.